Molecule: ribosomal RNA, 507 nt
Filed under: uncultured bacterium
Lineage: Bacteria
Description: bacterial SSU rRNA
Rfam family: Bacterial small subunit ribosomal RNA
Source: RNAcentral
GAUGAACGCUAGCUACAGGCUUAACACAUGCAAGUCGAGGGGCAGCAUGGUCUUAGCUUGCUAAGGCCGAUGGCGACCGGCGCACGGGUGAGUAACACGUAUCCAACCUGCCCUUUACUCGGGGAUAGCCUUUCGAAAGAAAGAUUAAUACCCGAUAGUAUAAUGAUUCCGCAUGGUUUCAUUAUUAAAGGAUUCCGGUAAAGGAUGGGGAUGCGUUCCAUUAGGUUGUUGGUGAGGUAACGGCCCACCAAGCCUUCGAUGGAUAGGGGUUCUGAGAGGAAGGUCCCCCACAUUGGAACUGAGACACGGUCCAAACUCCUACGGGAGGCAGCAGUGAGGAAUAUUGGUCAAUGGGCGCUAGCCUGAACCAGCCAAGUAGCGUGAAGGAUGAAGGCUCUAUGGGUCGUAAACUUCUUUUAUAUAAAGAAUAAAGUGCAGUAUGUAUACUGUUUUGUAUGUAUUAUAUGAAUAAGGAUCGGCUAAACUCCGUGCCAGCCGCCGCGGUAG